Molecule: long non-coding RNA, 419 nt
Filed under: Helianthus annuus (common sunflower)
Lineage: Eukaryota; Viridiplantae; Streptophyta; Magnoliopsida; Asterales; Asteraceae
Source: RNAcentral
AUGGGGUGUUGACAAAGGCCCUACUAAUGUUAUGAUACACACUGAAGAUGGCAGUGUCUUUAAUGUUUUUUUAAGCGCUUCUAAAGGGAAGAUAUUUUUUUUAAUGGUUGGUCCAAUGUUGUAAUACACUUGGGACUAACCAAAGGGUGUUUGGUAGUUUUUAAUCCACUAGAUCCUACAACUUUUAAAUUAACAAGUUUCAUUGAUGGGGUUAGUCGUGGCUCUUUCUGGACAUAUAUGCUAUCUCCGUCAUGUAAUUUUUAUGACAUCCCUCAAAGUACUUUGCCCAAAAGUUACGAUUAUUCCUCAAAUGACGUAACCUCUACUGUAAUGAUAGACAACAAAACAUUUAACGUUUCUAUUGUAACAUACGACGGUAAAGUCGGUUUUACCGUUGGUAUGGACGUAAUUGUUAGUCU